UCAAACUUGGUCAUUUAGAGGAAGUAAAAGUCGUAACAAGGUUUCCGUAGGUGAACCUGCGGAAGGAUCAUUAAUGAAGUUUGAUGAAGUAUACUCUACUUCCACUUCUCACCCUUUGCUUAAUUCAAAUCUUUGUUUGCUUCGGCAUGUCAGUCUUCAUUGACGGUCGGUUUUGAUCUGAUCAGAACGGAUUUGUUACUGCCGAUAGCCCUCAUGAACAUUCUUUGAUAUAAAUCAUGUCUGACGAUUUUUUAUACCAAAUAAAAAAAACAAAACUUUCAACAACGGAUCUCUUGGUUCUGGCAUCGAUGAAGAACGCAGC
RNAcentral lists this unclassified non-coding RNA (322 nucleotides) under uncultured fungus. RNAcentral's name for it is "partial contains small subunit ribosomal RNA, internal transcribed spacer 1, and 5.8S ribosomal RNA". The stretch from base 1 to 73 matches the Rfam family "Eukaryotic small subunit ribosomal RNA", at positions 1759 to 1831 of the family's 1831-position model. Lineage: Eukaryota; Fungi. The record is from RNAcentral.